RNAcentral lists this ribosomal RNA (492 nucleotides) under uncultured bacterium. RNAcentral's name for it is "partial 16S ribosomal RNA". It matches the Rfam family "Bacterial small subunit ribosomal RNA", at positions 29 to 507 of the family's 1533-position model. The record is from RNAcentral.
AGUGAACGCUGGCGGUAGGCCUAACACAUGCAAGUCGAACGGCAGCACAGUAAGAGCUUGCUCUUACGGGUGGCGAGUGGCGGACGGGUGAGGAAUACAUCGGAAUCUACUUUUUCGUGGGGGAUAACGUAGGGAAACUUACGCUAAUACCGCAUACGACCUACGGGUGAAAGCAGGGGAUCUUCGGACCUUGCGCGAUUGAAUGAGCCGAUGUCGGAUUAGCUAGUUGGCGGGGUAAAGGCCCACCAAGGCGACGAUCCGUAGCUGAUCUGAGAGGAUGAUCAGCCACACUGGAACUGAGACACGGUCCAGACUACUACGGGAGGCAGCAGUGGGGAAUAUUGGACAAUGGGCGCAAGCCUGAUCCAGCCAUACCGCGUGGGUGAAGAAGGCCUUCGGGUUGUAAAGCCCUUUUGUUGGGAAAGAAAAGCAGCAGGUUAAUACCCCGCUGUUCUGACGGUACCCAAAGAAUAAGCACCGGCUAACUUCGUG